UACGUAGGGUGCGAGCGUUAAUCGGAAUUACUGGGCGUAAAGUGUGCGCAGGCGGCCGCGCAAGUCGAGUGUGAAAUCCCCGAGCUUAACUUGGGAAUUGCGCUCGAAACUACGUGGCUGGAGUGUGGCAGAGGAAGGUGGAAUUCCACGUGUAGCGGUGAAAUGCGUAGAUAUGUGGAGGAACACCAGUGGCGAAGGCGACUUUCUGGUCUGUAACUGACACUGAGGCGCGAAAGCGUGGGGAGCGAACAGG
This 253-nucleotide ribosomal RNA is filed under the name uncultured bacterium. Its description in RNAcentral is "partial 16S ribosomal RNA". It matches the Rfam family "Bacterial small subunit ribosomal RNA", at positions 524 to 776 of the family's 1533-position model. The record is from RNAcentral.